RNAcentral lists this ribosomal RNA (544 nucleotides) under uncultured bacterium. RNAcentral describes it as "bacterial SSU rRNA". It matches the Rfam family "Bacterial small subunit ribosomal RNA", at positions 355 to 889 of the family's 1533-position model. The record is from RNAcentral.
UGGGGAAUAUUGCGCAAUGGAGGCAACUCUGACGCAGCCAUGCCGCGUGUGUGAAGAAGGCCCUCGGGUUGUAAAGCACUUUCAAUUGGGAGAAAAAGCUUGUCGUUAAUAGCGGCAAGCCUUGAUGUUACCUUUUAGAAGAAGCACCGGCUAACUCCGUGCCAGCAGCCGCGGUAAUACGGAGGGUGCGAGCGUUAAUCGGAAUUACUGGGCGUAAAGCGCGCGUAGGCGGUUGCUUAAGUCGGAUGUGAAAGCCCCGGGCUCAACCUGGGAACUGCAUUCGAUACUGGGCGACUAGAGUACGAGAGAGGGAGGUAGAAUUCCACGUGUAGCGGUGAAAUGCGUAGAUAUGUGGAGGAAUACCGGUGGCGAAGGCGGCCUCCUGGCUCGAUACUGACGCUGAGGUGCGAAAAGCGUGGGGAGCAAAACAGGAUUAGAUACCCUGGUAGUCCACGCCGUAAACGAUGUCUACUAGCCGUUGGGGUACUUGAGACCUUAGUGGCGCAGCUAACGCACUAAGUAGACCGCCUGGGAGUACGGCCGC